This 3132-nucleotide long non-coding RNA is filed under the name Takifugu rubripes (torafugu). RNAcentral's name for it is "lncRNA (ENSTRUG00000029394.1)". The record is from RNAcentral. Lineage: Eukaryota; Metazoa; Chordata; Actinopteri; Tetraodontiformes; Tetraodontidae.
AUGGAUAUGGAUGUACUUCAGGACAUUAUCCCGGAUACUUUCAAUAACAGUAAAGGAAAGGUCCUUCUCGACAAGUUGCAAAGGCUUGUAACAAGUGUUAGUUGGAGUCCGACAGACACCGCUGACCUGUUUCUCGCUCUUCUGGAACGUUUCGAUUCGGCACACUCGGAAAGAUCUCAACUUCUACCAUGGCUGUUAGAGAUCCUACACCUGAUGGAGAUUAAUCUCAUCACUCCUACCUGUAUAUGUCACAAAGGGACAGCUGUUGAAGUGGUCCGCGACGCAGCUGUGACCGAUGGAAUGCUCAAGGACUAUUUUUCUCAAGAGGAGGAGAAGAAGUUGCGUGAGAUUAUUGAGGAAAUCAGACAAACAAAGUUGAACCAUGUCAACGAGGCACUUCUCAGUAAAGUUGAAGGUAUUGUGUCAUCCGUCUAUGAUGCCCUUUGUUCAAAAACUAUUGCAAAGCUCUCUGGCACUGAAGGAGACUUGCUGAGGCUCUGUAGGGCUGCAGAAAGAGCUCAGUUUCGCCCACGACUAACGCAGAUGGUGAGCUGGUGUAUUAUGGCUCUUUCCAAAACCGGACAGUUUAUUCAGGUUGCCACGGGAGAGGGAAAGUCCUGCAUCGUGGCAAUGUUUGCAGCCUUCAAAGCCAUGAAAGGGAAAACUGUGCACAUACUGAGCAGCUCACCGAUCCUUGCAGAAAGAGACAUGGAAGACUGGAAGAAACUUUUCAGUACCUUAAAAAUCAGUGUGGACUGCAACACCAAUAAGCAUGAUAUACCUAGCUUACAAGAGUGUUAUAAGUGUCAGGUUGUCUAUGGUACUGCUGAAAAAUUUGCUGGAGACCAUCUGACACAGGUUUGUGAACGGACAGACAUAUUUGAGCAGAGAAAAUAUCUGUGUGCAAUUGUGGAUGAAGAAGAUUCCAUCAUGCUCGAUAAGGCUCUUCAUAUUAUCUACAUGGGUAAAGACAUACCAGCAUUACAACAUCUUAAUUCACUGUUAGCAUUCAUAUGGACUGUCGUCAACAAAUACAGUGAAAUUGACGCUGAGACCAUCAUCGGGGAUGAACAAAGAAUCCUGAAAAUUAUAAAAGAAGAAGUUGAAAAUUCACUGCAUUUUACACCAUGUGAACUGACGAGAGAUGAUCGCUGCUGUUACGUGCCUGGCUUUCUGUCAGGACUGGUGCGCUCCAAAAUCAACGUUUGGAUCAGAAAUGCACUGAAAGCACAAAAAAUGACCAAGGACCACGAGUAUGUCUUGGAAGGGCAGAGGAUCGUGCCGGUUGAUUACAACUCCACAGGUGUUGUUGAAAACUUCAUGACGUGGUCAGAUGGGUUGCACCAGUUUCUUGAAUUGAAACACAAGUUGAAGUUAAGCAACAUGACACCCAUCUCAAACUACAUGUCCAAUGUUGGCUUACUACAAAAGUAUGGAGCUGAGAUCUUUGGCCUCACUGGUACACUUGGCCAACAAGCAGAGAUGGAAACCUUGGAAAAGCUCUAUGGUAUCAAGACCUGUCAGAUACCUGCAUUCAAACGAAAAAAGUUUUUUGAAGUGGAAGGAGUAAUUGUAGAUGAGGAAACAAAAUGGAUAGAGACAAUCCGCAAUGUUGUCUCAGCACAAAUCAAGGGCACAUGUUACAGGGGCCAAAGAGCCGCAUUGAUCAUCUGUGAGACAAUCAGACGAGCAAAGACCAUUAAAAGAUCUCUCAGAGAUAAAGAAGCAAAGCUUUUUGUCAGCAACAACAUGGACAACAGAGCAAUUUUUGCCAAAGAACUUAUGGGAGGAGACAUCAUCAUAGCCACAAAUCUUGCUGGUCGUGGCACCGAUUUUAAGGUUAGCGAUCAGGUAAAGGCAGAUGGAGGUUUGUUUGUUGUUCAGACGUUCCUGCCUGAAAACAGCCGUGUUGAAGCUCAGGCAUUUGGUCGCACAGCAAGACAAGGAUCUCCGGGGUCGGCUCAACUCAUUGUCUGUCGCAGCCAUUUGCCAGAGCCACUUCAAUGUCUGUCUCUCUUGAGAAAAUUGAUAACUUUGUGGGAAAAUGUACUAAACCUUAAAUCAUGUCAUAGAGCUGAAUUUGUGUUGAUCUUUAAACUCUUUCUGAGAACUCAAUGCAAGGACACCUCACUGCUACGGCAGGCACUGGUUUCCAGUUUGAGCAACACCUCGGAUUUGGAGAUAAACAAGGUAAAAAAUGUGAGGGAUCAGAUUGCAGCUAAAAGGCUUUCUACCCUUUUGGAGCAAGACAUCCCAAAUAUGAAAAUGAAAGAACAUCUGUUUCAAAAGUACCUAAGUGCACGAGAUAAAAUGCCAGCAACUUCCUCUGAAUUAGAGCUCUCCGCACUGAAUGAAUACUGGGGAUUCUGGCUACUCACCAACAGUGAAGACAAUGAUUCCACUGAGAAGUUGGAUGAAAAACUCAGCACAGACCUGGACACUGCGAGAGGACAGCUCCAAAAAGGUGAAUCCCCCUUAUCAAAUCUGCAUUAUUACACUGCCACUGGCAACGAGCUGCUGAAAAGGGGCCUUUUUGAACAAAGUAUCCUGAUGUACUCUAAGGCCAUACUGGAAGACCCCUGUUGGGCAGCAUUUGCAUGUUACAACCGUGCAUUUGCACAUUUACUCCAAAUGAAACCUCAGGAUCAGAACUGCAUUAGGCAAGCUAUGGAAGACCUGCAACAGGCACAGGUGUCCAUUGAACUAUACUGGAACCAGACCAAGUUCACUGAAAGAUGCUACAAACAGCUCGAGCCCAACCCUGAACCUUCAAUCAGCAGGUUUGACCAUCACAUGAAAACCAGACAACAAGUGUUCAUGGCUUUAAAGGAAAACAUUGAUGUGGCCUUGAAGAAAUUAGACAGGGCUAGAGCCAUGGGGAGUGUUGUAAAAGUAGAUAGGGCCAUGGUCUACUUUCUGGUACCUUUAGUGGAUUUGUUGCCCUCACAGAUCUUGUUGGCUGCAAACUGCAAAAAUCCGCUGAAGAUUCUCCAACUUAUGUCCGAUGCAUCCUUUGACAUGUUCCAUGAACUUCUUGGUCUUAAGUCUCUGGGUCUGCCCUACAUCUACACCUUAGACACAGUCUUCUCAUUGGGUGGUUUUUUGUCAAAGAUAUUUAAUUUUUCUGAUUGA